AGAUUGAACGCUGGCGGCAGGCCUAACACAUGCAAGUCGAGUGGUAGAGAGGUGCUUGCACCUCUUGAGAGCGGCGGACGGGUGAGUAAAGCCUAGGAAUCUGCCUGGUAGUGGGGGAUAACGCUCGGAAACGGACGCUAAUACCGCAUACGUCCUACGGGAGAAAGCAGGGGACCUUCGGGCCUUGCGCUAUCAGAUGAGCCUAGGUCGGAUUAGCUAGUUGGUGAGUAAUGGCUCACCAAGGCGACGAUCCGUAACUGGUCUGAGAGGAUGAUCAGUCACACUGGAACUGAGACACGGU
RNAcentral lists this ribosomal RNA (301 nucleotides) under uncultured soil bacterium. RNAcentral's name for it is "bacterial SSU rRNA". It matches the Rfam family "Bacterial small subunit ribosomal RNA", at positions 26 to 330 of the family's 1533-position model. The record is from RNAcentral.